RNAcentral lists this ribosomal RNA (984 nucleotides) under Enterococcus sp. MRSA78B1_13_1A. Its description in RNAcentral is "bacterial SSU rRNA". It matches the Rfam family "Bacterial small subunit ribosomal RNA", at positions 72 to 1026 of the family's 1533-position model. Lineage: Bacteria; Bacillati; Bacillota; Bacilli; Lactobacillales; Enterococcaceae. The record is from RNAcentral.
UUUUUCCACCGGAGCUUGCUCCACCGGAAAAAGAAGAGUGGCGAACGGGUGAGUAACACGUGGGUAACCUGCCCAUCAGAAGGGGAUAACACUUGGAAACAGGUGCUAAUACCGUAUAACAAUCGAAACCGCAUGGUUUUGAUUUGAAAGGCGCUUUCGGGUGUCGCUGAUGGAUGGACCCGCGGUGCAUUAGCUAGUUGGUGAGGUAACGGCUCACCAAGGCCACGAUGCAUAGCCGACCUGAGAGGGUGAUCGGCCACAUUGGGACUGAGACACGGCCCAAACUCCUACGGGAGGCAGCAGUAGGGAAUCUUCGGCAAUGGACGAAAGUCUGACCGAGCAACGCCGCGUGAGUGAAGAAGGUUUUCGGAUCGUAAAACUCUGUUGUUAGAGAAGAACAAGGAUGAGAGUAACUGUUCAUCCCUUGACGGUAUCUAACCAGAAAGCCACGGCUAACUACGUGCCAGCAGCCGCGGUAAUACGUAGGUGGCAAGCGUUGUCCGGAUUUAUUGGGCGUAAAGCGAGCGCAGGCGGUUUCUUAAGUCUGAUGUGAAAGCCCCCGGCUCAACCGGGGAGGGUCAUUGGAAACUGGGAGACUUGAGUGCAGAAGAGGAGAGUGGAAUUCCAUGUGUAGCGGUGAAAUGCGUAGAUAUAUGGAGGAACACCAGUGGCGAAGGCGGCUCUCUGGUCUGUAACUGACGCUGAGGCUCGAAAGCGUGGGGAGCAAACAGGAUUAGAUACCCUGGUAGUCCACGCCGUAAACGAUGAGUGCUAAGUGUUGGAGGGUUUCCGCCCUUCAGUGCUGCAGCUAACGCAUUAAGCACUCCGCCUGGGGAGUACGACCGCAAGGUUGAAACUCAAAGGAAUUGACGGGGGCCCGCACAAGCGGUGGAGCAUGUGGUUUAAUUCGAAGCAACGCGAAGAACCUUACCAGGUCUUGACAUCCUUUGACCACUCUAGAAGAUAGAGCUUCCCCUUCGGGGG